GUCGACGAACUCUGGUAUUGAUUGGUGCUUGCAUCAUGAUUUACAUUUGAGUGAGUGGCGAACUGGUGAGUAACACGUGGGAAACCUGCCCAGAAGCGGGGGAUAACACCUGGAAACAGAUGCUAAUACCGCAUAACAACUUGGACCGCAUGGUCCGAGUUUGAAAGAUGGCUUCGGCUAUCACUUUUGGAUGGUCCCGCGGCGUAUUAGCUAGAUGGUGGGGUAACGGCUCACCAUGGCAAUGAUACGUAGCCGACCUGAGAGGGUAAUCGGCCACAUUGGGACUGAGACACGGCCCAAACUCCUACGGGAGGCAGCAGUAGGGAAUCUUCCACAAUGGACGAAAGUCUGAUGGAGCAACGCCGCGUGAGUGAAGAAGGGUUUCGGCUCGUAAAACUCUGUUGUUAAAGAAGAACAUAUCUGAGAGUAACUGUUCAGGUAUUGACGGUAUUUAACCAGAAAGCCACGGCUAACUACGUGCCAGCAGCCGCGGUAAUACGUAGGUGGCAAGCGUUGUCCGGAUUUAUUGGGCGUAAAGCGAGCGCAGGCGGUUUUUUAAGUCUGAUGUGAAAGCCUUCGGCUCAACCGAAGAAGUGCAUCGGAAACUGGGAAACUUGAGUGCAGAAGAGGACAGUGGAACUCCAUGUGUAGCGGUGAAAUGCGUAGAUAUAUGGAAGAACACCAGUGGCGAAGGCGGCUGUCUGGUCUGUAACUGACGCUGAGGCUCGAAAGUAUGGGUAGCAAACAGGAUUAGAUACCCUGGUAGUCCAUACCGUAAACGAUGAAUGCUAAGUGUUGGAGGGUUUCCGCCCUUCAGUGCUGCAGCUAACGCAUUAAGCAUUCCGCCUGGGGAGUACGGCCGCAAGGCUGAAACUCAAAGGAAUUGACGGGGGCCCGCACAAGCGGUGGAGCAUGUGGUUUAAUUCGAAGCUACGCGAAGAACCUUACCAGGUCUUGACAUACUAUGCAAAUCUAAGAGAUUAGACGUUCCCUUCGGGGACAUGGAUACAGGUGGUGCAUGGUUGUCGUCAGCUCGUGUCGUGAGAUGUUGGGUUAAGUCCCGCAACGAGCGCAACCCUUAUUAUCAGUUGCCAGCAUUAAGUUGGGCACUCUGGUGAGACUGCCGGUGACAAACCGGAGGAAGGUGGGGAUGACGUCAAAUCAUCAUGCCCCUUAUGACCUGGGCUACACACGUGCUACAAUGGAUGGUACAACGAGUUGCGAACUCGCGAGAGUAAGCUAAUCUCUUAAAGCCAUUCUCAGUUCGGAUUGUAGGCUGCAACUCGCCUACAUGAAGUCGGAAUCGCUAGUAAUCGCGGAUCAGCAUGCCGCGGUGAAUACGUUCCCGGGCCUUGUACACACC
This 1363-nucleotide ribosomal RNA is filed under the name Lactiplantibacillus plantarum. Its description in RNAcentral is "bacterial SSU rRNA". It matches the Rfam family "Bacterial small subunit ribosomal RNA", at positions 61 to 1391 of the family's 1533-position model. Lineage: Bacteria; Bacillati; Bacillota; Bacilli; Lactobacillales; Lactobacillaceae. The record is from RNAcentral.